Molecule: ribosomal RNA, 382 nt
Filed under: uncultured eukaryote
Lineage: Eukaryota
Description: partial 18S ribosomal RNA
Rfam family: Eukaryotic small subunit ribosomal RNA
Source: RNAcentral
UGUAAGCGUAUACCAAAGUUGUUGCAGUUAAAACGCUCGUAGUCGGAAUUUGGCAGUUCCGGAUGUGUGCACGUCGUGUGCGCACUUCGCGGGGAUUGCUUUUGUGGUCUUGCGCAGGAUGAGGCACUUUUAUUAGUGAACGUCCUCACGCAACCACUUUUUACUGUGAGAAAAUCAGAGUGCUCAAAGCAGGCAUUUGCCGUGAAUGUAUUAGCAUGGAAUAAUAGAAUAGGACUUGGUUCUAUUUUGUUGGUUUGUUGGGACUGAGUAAUGAUUAAGAGGGACAGUUGGGGGCAUCUGUAUUUCGGUGCUAGAGGUGAAAUUCUUAGAUUACCGAAAGACAAACUGCUGCGAAAGCGUCUGCCAAGGAUGUUUUCAUUGA